CAUCCGAUGGUGGUGGAAAGGAUUCUGGUCUGGGAUGGGCCCGCGGCCUAUCAGCUUGUUGGUGGGGUAAUGGCCUACCAAGGCGACGACGGGUAGCCGGCCUGAGAGGGCGACCGGCCACACUGGGACUGAGACACGGCCCAGACUCCUACGGGAGGCAGCAGUGGGGAAUAUUGCGCAAUGGGCGAAAGCCUGACGCAGCGACGCCGCGUGAGGGACGAAGGUCUUCGGAUUGUAAACCUCUUUCAGCAGGGAUGAAGCGAAAGUGACAGUACCUGCAGAAGAAGCACCGGCUAACUACGUGCCAGCAGCCGCGGUAAUACGUAGGGUGCAAGCGUUGUCCGGAUUUAUUGGGCGUAAAGAGCUCGUAGGCGGUCUGUCGCGUCGGAUGUGAAAACCCAAUGGCUUAACCUUGGGCCUGCAUACGAUACGGGCAGACUAGAGUGCGGUAGGGGAGACUGGAAUUCCUGGUGUAGCGGUGGAAUGCGCAGAUAUCAGGA
RNAcentral lists this ribosomal RNA (500 nucleotides) under uncultured bacterium. Its description in RNAcentral is "bacterial SSU rRNA". It matches the Rfam family "Bacterial small subunit ribosomal RNA", at positions 187 to 702 of the family's 1533-position model. The record is from RNAcentral.